GGGUGGUUAGCUCAGCUGGCAGAGCAACGGACUCUUAAUCCGUGGGUCCAGGGUUCGAUC
This 60-nucleotide transfer RNA is filed under the name Ligilactobacillus equi DPC 6820. RNAcentral's name for it is "Lactobacillus equi DPC 6820 tRNA". It matches the Rfam family "tRNA", at positions 1 to 58 of the family's 71-position model. Rfam says of the family: Transfer RNA (tRNA) molecules are approximately 80 nucleotides in length. Their secondary structure includes four short double-helical elements and three loops (D, anti-codon, and T loops). Lineage: Bacteria; Bacillati; Bacillota; Bacilli; Lactobacillales; Lactobacillaceae. The record is from Rfam by way of RNAcentral.